AUUGAACGCUGGCGGCAGGCUUAACACAUGCAAGUCGAGCGAGCGGCGGACGGGUGAGUAAUGUCUGGGAAACUGCCUGAUGGAGGGGGAUAACUACUGGAAACGGUAGCUAAUACCGCAUACCAUCAGAUGUGCCCAGAUGGGAUUAGCUAGUAGGUGGGGUAACGGCUCACCUAGGCGACGAUCCCUAGCUGGUCUGAGAGGAUGACCAGCCACACUGGAACUGAGACAAGGUCCAGACUCCUACGGGAGGCAGCAGGGGGGAAUAUUGAACAAUGGGCGAAAGCCUGAUGCAGCCAUGCCGCGUGUGUGAAGAAGGCCUGCGGGUUGUAAAGCACUUUCAGCGGGGAGGCGUUACACGCAGAAGAAGCACCGGCUAACUCCGUGCCAGCAGCCGCGGUAAUAC
Molecule: ribosomal RNA, 406 nt
Filed under: uncultured bacterium
Lineage: Bacteria
Description: partial 16S ribosomal RNA
Rfam family: Bacterial small subunit ribosomal RNA
Source: RNAcentral